This 10141-nucleotide long non-coding RNA is filed under the name Lupinus angustifolius (narrow-leaved blue lupine). RNAcentral describes it as "long non-coding RNA (LANG_LNC002091)". The record is from RNAcentral. Lineage: Eukaryota; Viridiplantae; Streptophyta; Magnoliopsida; Fabales; Fabaceae.
UGAUAUUGAGGGUUAUCCAAACUAAAUUUCAGGGUAGAGUUUUGACAGGCACAUGGAAAAUCAUCAUUCAAACAUUGUGCACAAAUGUGCUAUAUCAUCAUUCACAUGCUAAAAAAAUUAACACCUAAUCAUCAACACAGUCAACCAAAAGAGAAAGAAACUGUUUCCUAUAUAGGAAUACUUAAGCUGUUGUGGUAACCUAUUCAGAGGCCUCAACUAAUGCAUUUUGCUGUACAACAAUAUGAACUCAGCUCUAGUUUUUUUACUCAUUUCCUUCACUAGAAGUUGGCCAUGUUGCAGUUGGGGCCUGGUUUGUUUCGGUAGAAGUAGGCCAUGAUGAUGUUGGAGCCUGGUUUGAUUCAGUAGAUGUAGGCCAUGAUGAUGUUGGAGCCUGGUUUGAUUCAGUAGAUGUAGGCCAUGAUGAUGUUGGAGCCUGGUUUGUUUCAGUAGAAGUAGGCCAUGAUGAUGUUGCAGCCUGGUUUGUUUCAGUAGAAGUAGGCCAUGAUGAUUUUGGAGUCUGGUUUGUUUCAGUAGAAGUAGGCCAUGGAGUUCUUGGUGCCUGGUUUGUUUCAGUAGAAGUACGCAAUGGAGUUGUUGGGGCCUGGUCCCCUCCUGCUCUUCCACGAGGUUUCCGGAAAUGCUUGUCAUUGAACGAUUCGGCAACGUCUGGAUACUUCUUCCGUACUAGGUUUUCCAGGCACUUCCUGUAGGAAAAGUCCUCCUUUUUACCAUUCUUUAAAACCACAUACAUGCAUCUACUUUCCUGAAAAUUGCUGUGUCUGCUAACCUGUAAAAACAAGCGCUCCAAGAAGGCUGUGUUUGGAACCCUAAUUUUUAAAGGGGAAAAGUAAUUUUGCCCUUAUUUUUUAAUACAUGGCAACAAGGUUGUGCGUGGAACCCUAGUUUUAAGGAAAAGCUCUUUUUGCCCUUAUUCUUUAAUGCAUGGCAUGUUUUUUUAGGGUUUUGGGUAAUUUACCACUCCAUUUUCUCUCUUCUAUAAACACGUGAGCAACAACUAUGAAGUAGGAACCUUUUGAAACCAUCCGCUUCCCCUUUUUCCCCUCUUUCUGCAGCAGUGAAUAAACUCUGCAAAUUUUGGCCACUCACUCACAUCUCAACCUCCCACAUACACAUUUCUAGGGAAAAGCUUCUUCCCCUCACUUCCCUUGUCACAUAGCCACUUCUUUCACAACUAUAACCUCAUCUCAACUACUAAGUUUUAAAUUUUUUAAUUAUUCCACUUCGUUCUCCCAGUUACAAAACUUAAAAGAGUAUAAAUUACUUAAUUUUUUAGUAUUUAAUGUAUUUUUUCCCUUAGCAAUAGCGGUCAUUCCACUAUAAUGUUUUUUGGGUUACCGCUAUGCCCCGCUAUCCGCAAUUGACUACCUAGUCAUGGAUAGUGUUGAACUAUUUACAGAAAUAUACAGUGACAGAUUCAAGGAAAAUUAGUUAAGAGCACAAAACAAUUCAGCAGAGUCCCUCCAAAUUUCAUGCUAUUAGCAUAUACUCAGCAACAUCAACAGCUUUCAAAUACAUUAAAAUUGUUGAGUUCUCUCUGUUUUUAAAAUUGUUGGGUCCACACAUAAAGUUCCAGAGUGAACCUUCAUAUUUUUAAAAUUGCUGGACUCUCUAUUCUGUUCACAUAAAUGGUCUAUGCUGACUUCUAUCUAGGUAUAUGAGUUCCUGACAUCCUUUUAUUAAUAGCUAGGAGGUUAUGAAAUCAUAAAAAUUCAUCUUGAAGAAACUAUAAUUUUCUAUGAGAAAAAUAGAAAUGACAAAAAUCAAUUUUCAUGUGAUACUGACAUUUCAUCAAUUUGUUAUAGUAUUCAAGGACCACUCACCUGAUCAACCCAAUCCCAAAUAAACCCUCCUUGGAGACCAAAUGUGUUGUCAAUUGCCUCCCAAUAUGUAUGUAGAUUCCCGUUGCUGUUGCCCAUUGCAUGUGAAUACCUACCAUUUCGGCAUCAUAAACAAAAAAGGAAUAAUUAUCACUGAAAAUAAUGAGGAACAGUUGAAGGCACCAUAUGUUACUGAUGAUAAAUUCAAAUACAGCAAGUAAUGUCUCAAAAACAAAGAAAGCUUACUCGCAAAGUAUUAGAGGACGUGUUUCUGCAGGAUCAUUUGCAAUUUUCAACAUGUCCCAAACACGCAUAUACAUAGGGCACACAAUAUCUGUGCAUGGAGUUCUCGAUCCACCUCCUUCAUAAUGUAAUACCCGUGAUGAAUCUCUUCCUCGAAUCCAACCUGAUGAAUGUCUUCACAUUAACAAGAUGAAGGGUGAAACAAAUAAAGAGUAAAAAAAUGGCAGCACAAUAUACGAGGCUCCCACCUAGUGGGAUAUGGUGAUGGUAGAUAUAUGCAUUCUUACCUUCGCAAGCAAACAGUCUGUUCACAAGUGAUAGACGGGACCAAAUGAAGAUGACAAUAGCAUUAGUUAACCCCCAUAUGAAGAUUCUCAGACAGUACCAAAGCCUAAUAAGAUGCAUCGUAUUGCUAUCCUAUUCUCACUUUUCUGAAAUUUUAUUGUAACAAAUCAUCGAUUGUUUUUCUCCUACCUUCUGUGAAUAAUUUGAAUGCAAAGCCCAUAAUUUUGGAAUUCUUUAAUAAGAGUUCACACGAUGGUAUUUUCUGAAAAGAACUCUUUAUCUUUUAGCACAUAGAGACAUACUGACCACUAACAAAUUGAUCUGUCUUUUGAAAUUAUAGUGCUUAAAAAUGGUUAUUUAUUUUCUUAAGUAAAUGAAAUGACAUUGGAUGCAAUUCUUUGGAAGGUACACCUCCACUAGAUUCAUAAGAAUUUUUUCAAAUGAACAAAAAUGGUAGUUCUAGAGUGAACACUUAAAUCCAUCCUUCGUAGUUUUAGAGUGAACACCUAUAUCCUCCCUUGUGAAAUUUAAAGACAGACACAUUAGUCUCGAUAAAUGAAAACCCUGUGGUACCUAAGAAUCUCAAAUUUUGGCCAGAUCAGUCCCUAAUAAGAACUAAUUUGAUCGACGUUUGAGUUUCAUGGAAAUCAUGUCGAGAAAUUUAUUUCUCGGGGGAAAAUAUUUCUGCUUCUAAAUUUCUAAGGGACAAAUACGGGGGUUCACUCACAGGUUAAAAAAUAAAAUGCUUCUAUUAUGUCAAAAAUCAGGGUAAGUGUAGUGAGUGCACUACCAGCUAAAGCAUAAUGAUUAUGUCCAAAUCCAGAUUCAUUCCCUAAAGACCAAGAGAUGAUGCAUGUGUGAUUUUUAUCUCUCUCAACCAUGCCAAUCACACGAUCCAACAUUGAAGUUGCCCAAAUUGGUUCCAGAGUUGGAUGCUUGAGAUGUUUAGAGUAAUCAAAACCAUGUGUCUCAAUGUUGGCUUCAUCUAUCAUGUACAUGCCAAACAGAUCACACAGCUCAUACCAACGUGGAUGUUGGGGAUAAUGACUGUUCCUUACAGCAUUAAUAUUGUUUUGCUUCAUUAAAACCAAAUCCUGUAGGCACAAUAGUCAGUCAAUAGUGUCUGGAAAAUGAAAAUGUCUAGCAUUUAGCCAUCAUAAAGAUAUGAACUGACAAUCUUAUUGAAGAAACUAAAAGGAGAAAAACAGAUUACCCAUACCUUUAUCAUACAGGACUCUAUAUUUGCCUUACCAACUCGUGGAUGAUGUUCAUGCCUGUUCACACCACGUAUUACGACAGCUUGUCCAUUAACCAGCAGCUGUUUGUGGGCUUUAGUUACAUUUCUAAAGCCUACUGAACAUGACUCACAGUCAAUAAUGUGGCCAGAUUGAUCUUUGAGGACGACAACUAGGGUGUAGAGGAAUGGCUGUGAGAAAUUUAAAGAAAACAAAAUGCCAAAUGAGAAUUAAAUGGGUACAGUUGAAAUCUGACGCAAAGAAUGCUAAGAAAAAGGGUGGUAGAAGCUUUAAGAAAAUUCUUCCAUAACAAUAAACUUCUAGUUGUAUAAAUAAAUUGAUAAAUUCCACCAAAACACAAGACUUCAUCAAUUUUUCAAAAAGAAAAAAAGAUCGCACAAAGUUAAGAAAAUUCUAACAUCAAUAAAAUUCUAAAUUCUAAUUGCAUAGAAUAAUUGAUGAAUCAUUGAAGCACAAUUUCUUUCAACCUUUAGAAAAGAGGGUAAGGAACUACGUCCAAAAUCAGUAUCUGCCAUAUUCAUCACUGGCUAUGAAAAUUAAAAUGUCCUAGGCAAGAAAAAAUGAAUAAGCAAUAGGUGAUGUAGCAAGAAACUUAGAACACGUGCAGAAUUACAGCCAUAGUGUAAGGAUGGAACUAAAAAUCUUGAUAACCAUGUAAUUAUUUCUCAACAGUAAUUUGAUCAAUGAGGAGAUAUUAAUGGAAUUGACAGGAUUUUUUAAGACAGUAAUGUUGAGAGAAUCAAAUCAUUGGUUCCUUACUCAAUGAACAAACAUCACCCAAGCAAAUAGGAAAGUGAUUAAAAUUUCUCACUUGCUCAGCAGACCAAAGCUUUGGUGACUGCAGUUUUCCAACAAGCGUAUAACCAUGAAAUCCUAGUGGUGUUGUUGCAGUGGAUGGUUGGAACUUUAUGUCAGCUACAUUAGAUGAAAGGAGAUCAGUAUUUCCAUCACAAGUAUACCAGCUCCCAGAAUCAUAUAGUGCAGCUUCUACGGUAUAGUUUGUAAGAAUAUUAUCCUUGGAUGUCUCUUGCGAAUUAUCUAUUUUCACUUCAACCUGGACCAAGUUUAUGAGAUUGAUAAUAUAACAUAACCCAAAUAACAAAAUAAAACCAUAACUAACAUCCAUUUUGAGAAAAAUAUUGAUAACUAAAUUCAACUUUAUAAAAUCAGAAAAAAAGUGAUAAUGAGUUAAAAAUAAUUGGACUUAGAAGGGGGGAAUCCACAAACAAGGAUAGUUACAUAUUAUAUAAAUAACAUGAAAAAUGAAGCAAGUAAUUUCACAAAUAUUUAUGCUUACCAGUAUCUCCGCGGAAGAAAAAUCUUCGGCAAGGAUUGAUUUGAAAAAAUAGUCAGUGAUAAAUACCUACACACCACAUAUUUUAUAAGACAUUAACAUCAAGCAGGAAAGAAAAUAGGAAAUAGUCAGACAACUAAACAAAUUGGACUUUCUAUAUUCAGAACAAAAUUAAAUAGAACAACACAUAAAAUAUUCUCAAACUUGGAUUUCCAAAAGUUUCAAAUCAUAAACGAGGCACAUUCAUGAUCUGAGCUAACUCUUAGCUUAAUUUAUUCUGUAAGAGACAUUAUAACACAAUGUUGAAGACAAAUAUCAUAUGUCAGCAUCUCAGAUAGAUGUCAUAUGUAAUGUAAACAGUAUAACCUUCUUUUUUCAUCCUUUUAGAAAAUGCAUUAAUAGAGCUAUAAUAAGACUGCAGCAUGUAAAUGGGACUAAGCAGAAGUGAGGAAAAUUUCAGAGAAGAAACCUUCGGCUUUGCAAGAAGAAUCACAUCACGGUGGAUGCCAGAUAAUCGCCAUUGGUCCUGAUCUUCAAGGUAAGAGCCAUCACUCCAUCUAAACACUUGAACAGCCAGAACAUUCUUAAGGUCUGAACCACAUGGGUGACAAAAAUCAGUGAUUUCAAACUCUGCAGGUAGCCUGCUGUCUUGGCUGUCAUUGCAAAAUAAUAAAACAUCUGUUAAUAAAACAUGAGGUGAUUAAUGUCAAAGCUUUAUUCUCAUUAUCUUUGUAUUUUAUGGGUAUUACGUAAUAAGACAAUGACAUCAACACCAACGAACAAACAAAAGCCCUUUUGUUUUAGCUUGAGUUGACCAAGGGCUAUAGUUAUCAAUUUAAAGUUUACUUUACGAUAUGCCUUCUUGUCAUCAUGCAUCACGGUUAACCAAUUUCUGAUUAUUUUCUUUCAGUCAUCAUAUUUAACUGUGUUGAGUAUACUGACGAAGCAUAUCCUCUACCAAAUAUGUCAAGGUUAUUAUGAUUUGUAAAUUGUGUGUGGUGCACCACACAUGAUAUUUAUAAUAUAGGAAGGGGUACAAGAAUAGUAUAUAAUAAUUACAAUGAUUGCAAAUCAAAUGAGAAAUUAAUGCAUAUCAAUUUCUGAUAUGCACUUCUGUUAAAUGUGUUAUUUCUAACACUACCCCCUCAAGCUAAAAGCUUACCAAGCUUUAAGGUUGUUAAACAAAAAUUAUAGAAAUUCUUCUUAGCACCAAAAACCUAUGAAAUUGAUAACGUAGGCAUCUACUUCUGGGAUAGAGAUGAGCCAGUACAUCUUGGACAAAAAUGAGAGCCAGAGCAUUAGGACAAAGGUGGAGUUAUUGUGACUUGCGAGUCAUUACCAAUAUAAGUCAUAAUCGGAAUGAUUGUCGACGGGAAUAGAAUUCAUUACAAAUAUGAUUCACAAGUAGAAUAGGAGGCACCAUCACAAUCAUUGAUGGAAGAAAAACUGCCACUGAUACGAUUCUCCAUUGGGUAGGCACCACCGAAAUGUUCAUUGGUGGAAAUAGCCACUGGUAUAAUCCAUUAGUGGAUAGGAAGCACCACUGAAAUGAACAUCAAUGGGAAGAAAAACCACAAAUAUCUGAGUGGAUGACAUGGACGAGAGAAAUGAAUAUCGAAGUUCUGAAUUUAUAUUGAUAGCACACAAGUCCUUGAUGGUACUGCUCUGAUUUCAUAUUAUAAUUUGGAAAUUGUGUGAAUUGCAAACCACACAUAAUAUUUGUAAUAUAGGAAGGGGUUUCAAGAAUAGAAUAUAAUAAUUACAAUGAUUGCAAAUCAAAUCAAAUCAGAAACUAAUGUGUAUCGAUUUCUGAUUUGCGCAUGUGUUAAAUGUGCUACUUCUAACAGUUGUAACAGCCAGUACCAGCAUGCACAAGAGAUAGAGAGAGAUACCUAUAUCCUAUUGGAUGCCCAUUUAUCCAUGCACAAAAGGCAGAAUCAACAGCUUCAAAAUGUAACAAAAUUCUUCUACCUAACAAAAACCAAUCCAUUGUUCAAAAGAAGUAUUCCAUAUUAAAGUAAAGUCUAUAGUUGAUAAAAAGGAAAGAAUAGAUGGUGACUUUAAAGCAACAUAAAUAAAACAAAUUGACAUCAUUUUUCCUAUACAAGAUACAGAAAAAAGAUUGAACAUAUAAUUCUUACAAGACUUGCAUUAUCAAGAUCUAUAAGCACUCAUUAAAACCUAUGUUUUCUCUCUAUAAAUGAUCAAUAAAACUAACUACAAUAAUAAAAAUAUAUUUACGUCUAAUUCAUUGUCUAAUAAAGAAUAAUUACAUCUAAAGUACAGCACACCAUAGUUACAUAACUAAAGAAUGGAAUUGGAACAUGGAAAGAAUGACAAUACCAAAUUUCUCCCAUUUUUUAAAAGAUAAAAGACUAAAUAUUGCUAAAAAUGAGUAAGUCAUACCCUCCCAUUCUUUAGGAAUAUGGAAUUCUGUUCUAUAGCAGCCCGUAGGAUUUUCAAUAGGAACCAAAGGAGGAUCUACUGGAAAUGGAUACACAACAUUUGUAUAUAUAGGGACAUCAUAUCCAUGCAUCUGCCAAUUUGAAGGAACUGUACAAGUUUGGGGAAAGUAAUUAGACGUGGAUGAAAUACUAGUGAUCAUAAAAAUGACAUCGUUCAAUUCACAGGCAAGGAUUAAAAAAGUAUACGGAUGAUAAUACGAACAAAUAAAACAAGCAAUAAGAGAACAAAAUCUCCUAUAAGAUGAAUUCAUUAACCAAGCCCAAAUGAUCCAUAAAAACCACACGUGUAACUAGGAAAAUGCUGUGGCCUGUUACGUGUAGCUAUCCCAUCUUUCUGAAUAUUAGUGACAAAAACACCUGAAAAAACCCAGGGCAAGAAUCCAAAGGGAAGUCGGGUACUGCUUUAUUCCUUCCCUUUCAAAGACAGACCUAUAGUUCAAUCCAAAACCCUUUGGUACACAAUUAUAUAUGAACAUAAUGAUGAAUUUGAUAGAGCACAUUUUUACAAGAAAAAUCAAAUUAUAGAGCACUUUCUAACAAAACAAAAGCAAAUAGUACAGUUGGAAUAUCUGUUACUGGCCUAUGACACUGCAACAGAGUUAUACACACUGCAUGUAAAUUAAUGGUUAUAAAAUAUAUGAGCAUAAAUAUACACUUACCAGGCAAAAAUUUCCACUCCAAAUCCUGGAAAUCACUUUCAAAAAAUUUAUCGGGGACAGUGUUUGGACUGUCAGCAAGGAAAAAUUUCCAAUGUCCAGACAAGGACUUAACAAAUGGUAAGUCUUUGACCCAAAAUGCACAACAAUCAAGAGCUUCAUCAACAGCAUCAUCAUUCCAAACAGCAGAUUUUGAAACCAAAUGAUCCACCUGGUUGCGUUUAUACCAAUAUUUAAGAGAUCCUACACAUGACAAGAUUCCAAUUUAUCCAAAAGAAAAGGAAACAAAGAUAUCAGAAACAUAAAACACUGAUGAUUUUGAUGUAAUUUAAAUCCAUAAAUUGCUUAAUUCAUAGAGUAAAUUUACAAACUUUACUCACUAAUUAUCAGUUUCAAAAACUACGAUCAUAGAUUAUUAAAGCAUCACCCUGAAAAUCAACUAAACCCAUCUUCUGUUUCUAAAGACAAAUAAACUCUACACAGCAUUGAAAUGAAUUUAUUCAAACUCACUAUUCAAAUAUCUAAAAUAAAUGAAGAUUUUUUUAAUGAUAAAGAGAUCAUUUAAAAAAACAUGAAUUCAGAAUGCAAAUAUUGUAUAUCCUAUUAUAGACAAACCCAACCCCAUGUAAAUGAAUUCCACUUUAUCAAACUGAUAUAGAAUCAUAAACCAAAAUCAACACAAAAAAAUGACAAUAACCACUAAAAGUUUGAACAACAAAAAAAUACAAAAACCUAAAAUAGUGAAUUGAAAAAUGGACCUUCAACAGAGUCACGGCAAUGCAGGGUAACAUGUGAUUCUCUUUUUCUCCAUUUGAUGAAAGAAGGAUCCUCCCAAACUCUGUAACCAGAAUCUGUAGAAAGAACAAGUGGUCCCACCAAAGAACUCAUCACAAAAUAAACCUAUGAAUCAGUGUUUUUUGGGUAUAAGAGAGAAGAAGAAGAAGAAAUAACUGUUUUAUCAAAAAACAAAGCCAAUGGAAAUAUCACAUUUGUUGCCUAUUUAUGCCUUCCAGCGGAGGAAUCUAAACCCAUCCCUCUUAUUUUUAUAAUAACACGUUUUUAAUUAACUUCAGUCAUUAUCACUUUUCUUAAUUUUUAAAACUUAUUAUGAAAUUUUAAUAUGACUCUUUAAUCAAUAGUUUUAUUGUAAACAACAAAAACAGACAUAAAAUAUCUUAUAAAAAAAUAUGAUUUUAGAUUGUAGUCUUAAGGAUAAGAGUGGAUAUUAUUUAUGAGAGUGAGGUCACUUAUGUCAUGGAAAGUGAGUUUGACCUUAAAUUAGACAAAUAGCUGAAGACCAAUUUCUUCUUAGAUUUCUGUUAACUAUUCAAGUUAUUCAUGUGAGUAAUAAAUGUUACACUUUGGAAUUUGUCUUUAAUGCUAACAUCGUUUUCCCCUUUUAGUCAUCAAAAGUCCAUCUUGAAUUAAGCCAGUACUGAACAAGAUAAUUGAACCUAAUAAUGUUAUGUUAAAUUUUAAUUAGAUUUAAGGAUGAUAAGCUUUAAAGCAAAAAUGACUAAAAAGCUAAUGAAAUCUAGGGAGAGUAAAUAUACAUAACUUUACUCAAACAAGCGAAUAGACUAUUUCUAAAUUUUUAUCGGCCGAAGGUAUGUAGUUUAUUUUUUAUUUUUUGAAUGGAAAGGAUAGAUAAAAUAAAAUGAAUUUAAAGUAAUCUUCAUGUUCUAAAUCCUAGAAUAGAUGCUAAGAAACCUUGGUAAUAGGAAUAAACCAAAUGAUAUUGAGGGUUAUCCAAAAUAAAUUUCAGGGUAGAGUUUUGACAGGCACAUGUGCCAUCAUCAUUCAAACAUUGUGCACAAAUGUGCCAUCAUCAUUCACAUGCUAAAAAAAUGAACACCUAAUCAUCAAAACAGUCAACCAAAAGAGAAAGAAACUGUUUCCUAUAUAGGAAUACUUAAGCUGUUGUGGUAACUUAUUCAUAGGCCUCAACUAAUGCAUUUUGCUGUACAACAAUAUGAACUCAGCUCUAGUUUUUUUACUCAUUUGCUUCACUAGAAGUUGGCCAUGUUGCUGUUGGGGCCUGGUUUGUUUCGGUAGAAGUAGGCCAUGAUGAUGUUGGAGCCUGGUUUGAUUCAGUAGAUGUAGG